GCUUUGGUGGUGCAGUAGUAGAAUUCUCACCUUCCACGUGGGAGACCUGGGUUUGAUUCCCUGCCAGUGCA
This 71-nucleotide transfer RNA is filed under the name Loxodonta africana (African savanna elephant). It matches the Rfam family "tRNA". From Rfam's summary of the family: Transfer RNA (tRNA) molecules are approximately 80 nucleotides in length. Their secondary structure includes four short double-helical elements and three loops (D, anti-codon, and T loops). The record is from Rfam by way of RNAcentral. Lineage: Eukaryota; Metazoa; Chordata; Mammalia; Proboscidea; Elephantidae.